AAGAGGUUAGUUAACAAAAUAACAUUGGUAUGUCAAACCAAAAUAGUCCAAUAGACACCUCUUU
This 64-nucleotide transfer RNA is filed under the name Incisitermes minor. Its description in RNAcentral is "tRNA-Asp". The record is from RNAcentral. Lineage: Eukaryota; Metazoa; Arthropoda; Insecta; Blattodea; Kalotermitidae.